GAUGAACGCUGGCGGCGCGCUUAACACAUGCAAGUCGAACGGAACUGUUUGGAUGAAGUUUUCGGAUGGAUUUUAAACAGUUUAGUGGCGGACGGGUGAGUAACGCGUGGGUAACCUGCCUCACACUGGGGGAUAACAGUUAGAAAUAGCUGCUAAUACCGCAUAAGCGCACAGCUCUGCAUGGAGCGGUGUGAAAAACUCCGGUGGUGUGAGAUGGACCCGCGUCUGAUUAGCCAGUUGGCGGGGUAACGGCCCACCAAAGCGACGAUCAGUAGCCGGCCUGAGAGGGUGAACGGCCACAUUGGGACUGAGACACGGCCCAAACUCCUACGGGAGGCAGCAGUGGGGAAUAUUGCACAAUGGGGGAAACCCUGAUGCAGCGACGCCGCGUGAGUGAAGAAGUAUUUCGGUAUGUAAAGCUCUAUCAGCAGGGAAGAAAGUGACGGUACCKAAUAAGAGCCCCCGMYU
Molecule: ribosomal RNA, 468 nt
Filed under: uncultured bacterium
Lineage: Bacteria
Description: bacterial SSU rRNA
Rfam family: Bacterial small subunit ribosomal RNA
Source: RNAcentral